RNAcentral lists this ribosomal RNA (460 nucleotides) under uncultured bacterium. Its description in RNAcentral is "partial 16S ribosomal RNA". It matches the Rfam family "Bacterial small subunit ribosomal RNA", at positions 338 to 795 of the family's 1533-position model. The record is from RNAcentral.
CCUACGGGAGGCUGCAGUGAGGAAUAUUGGUCAAUGGACGCGAGCCUGAACCAGCCAAGUAGCGUGAAGGAUGACUGCCCUAUGGGUUGUAAACUUCUUUUAUAUGGGAAUAAAGUGGGGCAUGUAUACCCUUUUGUAUGUACUUUAUGAAUAAGGAUCGGCUAACUCCGUGCCAGCAGCCGCGGUAAUACGGAGGAUCCGAGCGUUAUCCGGAUUUAUUGGGUUUAAAGGGAGCGUAGAUGGGUUGUUAAGUCAGUUGUGAAAGUUUGCGGCUCAACCGUAAAAUUGCAAUUGAGACUGGCAGUCUUGAGUACAGUUGAGGUAGGCGGAAUUCGUGGUGUAGCGGUGAAAUGCUUAGAUAUCACGAAGAACUCCGAUUGCGAAGGCAGCUCACUAAACUGCAACUGACACUGAUGCUCGAAAGUGUGGGUAUCAAACAGGAUUAGAUACCCGUGUAGUC